Non-coding RNA from Chelonoidis abingdonii (Abingdon island giant tortoise), 178 nucleotides. The record is from RefSeq and is a predicted model, not a curated record. Lineage: Eukaryota; Metazoa; Chordata; Testudines; Testudinidae.
UAGUGGCUUCCGGCACCCGGUGUUCUGAUGUGGCAGAACGCAAUGGGCCUGGAUGUGUACCUUGGGCCUGAUGAUAUGUCCAGGGUGUCCAAAAUGCCCACCGUUGAGGUCCAUGAUCCUGAGCCUGGGGCUCGUGGAAUAGCGCAGUGGGCACAUCCGUGGUCUGGUCCACACUACG